CCUACGGGGAGCUGCAGUGGGGAAAUAUUGGACAAUGGGCGAAAGCCUGAUCCAGCCAUGCCGCGUGUGUGAAGAAGGCCUUCGGGUUGUAAAGCACUUUCAGUGGGGAAGAAAGCCUUGGGGCUAAUACCCUCGAGGAAGGACAUCACCCACAGAAGAAGCACCGGCUAACUCCGUGCCAGCAGCCGCGGUAAUACGGAGGGUGCGAGCGUUAAUCGGAAUUACUGGGCGUAAAGCGCGCGUAGGCGGUCUGAUAAGCCGGUUGUGAAAGCCCCGGGCUCAACCUGGGAACGGCAUCCGGAACUGUCAGGCUAGAGUGCAGGAGAGGAAGGUAGAAUUCCCGGUGUAGCGGUGAAAUGCGUAGAGAUCGGGAGGAAUACCAGUGGCGAAGGCGGCCUUCUGGACUGACACUGACGCUGAGGUGCGAAAGCGUGGGUAGCAAACAGGAUUAGAUACCCGUGUAGUC
This 466-nucleotide ribosomal RNA is filed under the name Vreelandella stevensii. RNAcentral describes it as "partial 16S ribosomal RNA". It matches the Rfam family "Bacterial small subunit ribosomal RNA", at positions 338 to 795 of the family's 1533-position model. The record is from RNAcentral. Lineage: Bacteria; Pseudomonadati; Pseudomonadota; Gammaproteobacteria; Oceanospirillales; Halomonadaceae.